CCUACGGGCGGCAGCAGUGAGGAAUAUUGGUCAAUGGACGAGAGUCUGAACCAGCCAAGUAGCGUGAAGGAUGACUGCCCUAUGGGUUGUAAACUUCUUUUAUAUGGGAAUAAAAUGUUCCACGUGUGGGAUUUUGUAUGUACCAUAUGAAUAAGGAUCGGCUAACUCCGUGCCAGCAGCCGCGGUAAUACGGAGGAUCCGAGCGUUAUCCGGAUUGAUUGGGUUUAAAGGGAGCGUAGGUGGAUUGUUAAGUAAGUUGUGAAAGUUUGCGGCCCAACCGUAAAAUUGCAGUUGAAACUGGCAGUCUUGAGUACAGUAGAGGUGGGCGGAAUUCGUGGUGUAGCGGUGAAAUGCUUAGAUAUCACGAAGAACUCCGAUUGCGAAGGCAGCUCACUGGACUGCAACUGACACUGAGGCUCGAAAGUGUGGGUAUCAAACAGGAUUAGAUACCCUAGUAGUC
This 460-nucleotide ribosomal RNA is filed under the name uncultured bacterium. RNAcentral's name for it is "partial 16S ribosomal RNA". It matches the Rfam family "Bacterial small subunit ribosomal RNA", at positions 338 to 795 of the family's 1533-position model. The record is from RNAcentral.